UGGUUGGUUUGCGUGUGUAUCCUCCUUCUGUAUAAAAUACAUCUCCUAGCAUUGACUUUGUAGGGGAAGAAGGAAUUCCUAUUGAUAUCGACUUGGUCAUGAGGGAGAUCCUGCUACACAAUUAUGACUUCUAAUAUCCAUCCUUGAGAUUCUGGUCUGUAGCUUUGACUUCUGAUAUCCAUCCUUUGCUUAGGUUGAAGAUGUAUUCAUUCUUUUAAAUUUUUGUUUCCUAAUUUGACUUGAACUUAUGGAAAAUAUAGCUUUGGGUAGAAGAAAGUGGCAGGGAAGUAAUCAGCCAAUGUGAAACUGUUGGACAAGGCUUGAAGGACGAUAACAAUUUUGAUGAUUUAUGCUAUGGCUGAUAAUCUCCCAUUCCUUUGAGUGUAUAAACAAAUUGUAGUAAUAGAAAUGUCAACAGGUACAAGGAAGGAUGAAUUAUCCUUUAACCAAACAUAUAAAGAAAGAGAAUCUAAAUAGCCUAUCCAAAUAAAAAAGAAAAAAGGAAAAAAGAAAAGAAAGAAUCUAAAUAUAAAAUGGCCCUAGUAUAGUGUGAUGCUAGAAGACACCUGCCAUAAUUCCCCAACUGAGGACCCAAACUAAAUCCAGGCUCCUCACUUGGUCAACCUAUCUUUUACCUGGUUUGCCAAUCUAGGUUUCCAAGCAAAGAAGCACCUGGAGCUCUUGACAGGUUGAUGAUUUUCUGAAUCCAACAAUCCUAUUUGCAAUGCUCUUCUUUCCUUGAGACAUCCAUGAAAUCACAUGGAAGAACAAUAGUUGAAUCCCCUCCACCCGAAAGUUGCUGAUACCACAUAAAGAAGCCUUAAACAAUCCUCCAAUGAAACAAGAGUCCCUGGGUUAAUGGCCAAGCCGAGUGCAGCUGGUCUGAAAAAUGUCCAACCAUCCUGCCUAA
This 910-nucleotide long non-coding RNA is filed under the name Vitis vinifera (wine grape). RNAcentral's name for it is "long non-coding RNA (VVIN_LNC002991)". The record is from RNAcentral. Lineage: Eukaryota; Viridiplantae; Streptophyta; Magnoliopsida; Vitales; Vitaceae.